RNAcentral lists this ribosomal RNA (488 nucleotides) under Carininidae sp. 26DS. RNAcentral describes it as "partial 16S ribosomal RNA". It matches the Rfam family "Bacterial large subunit ribosomal RNA", at positions 1829 to 2597 of the family's 2925-position model. The record is from RNAcentral. Lineage: Eukaryota; Metazoa; Nemertea; Palaeonemertea; Carinomiformes; Carininidae.
UGUUUUUAGACUUGUGUAAUUAAAAAUAUAUCUGCCCGGUGUGAAAUUAAUUAACGGCCGCGGUACUCUGACCGUGCGAAGGUAGCGUAAUCAUUUGUUUUUUAAUUGAGGACUUGAAUGAAUGAAUUUAUGAGGAAGAUUCUGUCUCUUUAUAUUUUUUGUAAGUUUCUUUUAAGGUGAAGAAGCCUUUUUUUAGGCAUUAGACGAUAAGACCCUAUUGAGUUUUACUUUAUGUUUAAGUUUUUUUUUAUUUUUAUAUUUUAGAUUUAAAAUAGAGUUUGGUUGGGGCAACCUAGGAGAAAAUUUUAACCUCUUUUUUUGUAUUAAUCCAUUUUUUAUGAAUUAAAAAUAAAUUACCAUAGGGAUAACAGCGUAAUUUUUUUUGAGAGUUCUUAUUAAUAAAAAAGUUUGCGACCUCGAUGUUGGACUAGGAUUUCCUAAUGUUGCAGAAGACUUUAAGGGUGGGUCUGUUCGACCUUUAAAAUCCU